AUUUAUGGAUGGUUAAAUGGUCAUAGCUUAUUAAGUACAACAUGACCGUUUAUUUAGUGACUAUAACUGUGCGAAACUGAUUUAAGGCUUGGUGUAUAUAUAAAUAUUGUGUUGUAAUUGUCGAGAUAUUUGGAGAUAUUUAUUUAUUGUGGAAAUUCUGCAUUGAACUGGGGUUUAACGUCCUACCUUUUCAGCCCCAACCUUUAAAUUCGGAGAUAUACCGCUCUCAACUUCAGUGUAUAUGUACGAUUAAAUUUUAAAAAGAAAAAAACAACAAACAAAAACAUAUCGACCGCACAUGUUCUCUCAUGCAUGAACUGUUAUUGGAGUUAUUGGCUAUGAGUUAGACGUGAUAAAGCAAAAUGUAUAUAUAGGUUAACCAGAUAUAUAACUAUAUACAUCGUCCAUAAAAGGUGUAUUACUCCUAGAGUAACUCGGACAUUUUUAUUUACAUCUAGAAAGAAGACGACUAGGAUUAGUAACCAGUUAUCGAGGGAACGAACUUUAGAAGCUUCCAAAAUGGGAUUCUGUGAGAAACCACUGACUGCAAAAAUUGGAACUGUUCUUUUAACCAUUUCGUAUUUAGUUUCUUUAACUGGCACCUCAUCACCAUCAUGGUUUAAAUCUGGAGACAUGACUUAUGGACUUUGGACGGAUUGUCAAGGACCCGGAGAAUUUCAGAAUUGCGGUUCGAACGAUUUAGCUUCUAAACAAGAUUGGUUUUAUGCUGUCCUGAGUUUAGCAACAAUUGGAGCUGUCUGUCUGAUUGUUGCAAAUGUCGUAGGCUUUUUCUCUUCCAAUCGAAUGAUUCCCGCUGUAUUUGGUAUAUUAGGAGGGUUGCUGCUUUUAAUAUCUGUUGUGAUUUACGGAGUGAAGCAGAAUGAACUUAAUGGAUCACUUUACUGGGCUUUCUACUUAACCGCAAUAGCCGGAUUUCUUGGUUUUAUAGGCGCAUUGCUUUUAAUACCAGGUCAAAACAAAAGUAACGUUUCAGGCUAAUGUACAUGUAUAUCUACUGACGUGUUAGCAGGACCUUCAAAUGCUUGGCGAUAUAUCCAUUCCAGGUAUACAUAUUGGCAGUGCUGUAUUUGAGACAAAAUUUUCUUUCAUGUCACUUGCUGUCCUUGUAAAUAACGACUUGGUAAAGAGAGCUCGCCAUUAGAUAUCGAAUUUUAAUGGGGAUAAUAUAUGGUUAUUAUUUAAUUUUGUUCCCCGAUGUUAUUGUUAUUAUUUAUUUAGUUUAAGUAUUGAUUUGAAAUAAACUAAAUAAAUAAUAUAUUUAUUUAAAUAAUAUAUUAAAAUGACCUGACGAUUCGUUUGAUAACGGUGAAGGUACUAGCCAAAAAUUCAAUUUUUAGCAUUUUUUUCUCUAAUAUUUGCUCAUAGGCAUAACCUUUUCAAAUCAAUACUUAAACUAAAUAAAUAAAUAUAAAAAUUUAUUUUAAUAUAUAUCUUUUUUUGUUUGGUAUUUAUUUUACUGUAUAUACAAACUUGUAAAUGAAAUGUAAUACCAUUUUUCUUCUUAAUACGAUAUCAUCAAAUUUGACUUAUACUAAAUCAUUUAAUAGUUUGUGUAAAUGUGCUAUUUGACCAAGAAUAGUUUUCCAAAUGAGAAACAAGUCGUCCAAAUAUCUUUUUAAUUUCUCUUUGAUGUAGUUUCUAGUAAUACCAAAUCUGUUUUUAGUUAUUUUAUAUAAUUUUUCUUCUAAAAAUCCCAUUGCAAGGUUACUAAAAUACACACAAGGAACCUGUUUUAUAUAUUGAUAUGCAUAAAGAACUUUGUGUUUGUGUAUUAUAUACAUUGUCAUAAAGAAUGUGUUGUAUAUACAUAUAUACAUAAAUAACUUUGUUUUAUAUUAUUUAUGUAUAUAAAUAACUCGGUUUUAUAUAUGUAAUACGUUAUAUUUUUAUAUACAUGUACAUAACAACAGAUUUUAAAACUAAUGAGAAUGUGAUAUGUUUGUUUUCUGGUUUGUAAUAUUUUCUAAAACAAAUCAUAAAUUUAACCUCAGUUAUUAAAGGAGACGUCUCAAUUUUCAUUAGGGCUCCGGGAACAAUGUUCGUUAUAAUAUACAAAUCAAACGUGAAAAAUAUGAAGAAUCUAAAAGAUUUGAAUAUUGGGCUCUUUGGAAAUAAUCGCCAAAACAGUUUAUAAGGGAUGGGGAUACGGUAACUCUUUUAUAGCGUCCGCCUACAAUUGUUGAUUGGGUGACUACCGGAUAAUAUACACUGUUAAAA
Long non-coding RNA from Patella vulgata (common limpet), 2238 nucleotides. RefSeq lists it as uncharacterized. NCBI's taxonomy places the organism in Eukaryota, Metazoa, Mollusca, Gastropoda, Patellidae. The record is from RefSeq and is a predicted model, not a curated record. The transcript has 4 exons.